GGGGCACGGGCGGCGUGCCUAUACUGCAAGUCGAACGAACUUCCGUUAAUUGAUUAUGACGUGCUUGCACUGAAUGAGAUUUUAACACGAAGUGAGUGGCGGACGGGUGAGUAACACGUGGGUAACCUGCCCAGAAGCAGGGGAUAACACCUGGAAACAGAUGCUAAUACCGUAUAACAGAGAAAACCGCCUGGUUUUCUUUUAAAAGAUGGCUCUGCUAUCACUUCUGGAUGGACCCGCGGCGCAUUAGCUAGUUGGUGAGGUAACGGCUCACCAAGGCGAUGAUGCGUAGCCGACCUGAGAGGGUAAUCGGCCACAUUGGGACUGAGACACGGCCCACACUCCUACGGGAGGCAGCAGUAGGGAAUCUUCCACAAUGGACGCAAGUCUGAUGGAGCAACGCCGCGUGAGUGAAGAAGGGUUUCGGCUCGUAAAGCUCUGUUGUUAAAGAAGAACGUGGGUGAGAGUAACUGUUCACCCAGUGACGGUAUUUAACCAGAAAGCCACGGCUAACUACGUGCCAGCAGCCGCGGUAAUACGUAGGUGGCAAGCGUUAUCCGGAUUUAUUGGGCGUAAAGCGAGCCAGGCGGUCUUUUACUC
RNAcentral lists this ribosomal RNA (600 nucleotides) under Pediococcus acidilactici. Its description in RNAcentral is "bacterial SSU rRNA". It matches the Rfam family "Bacterial small subunit ribosomal RNA", at positions 30 to 588 of the family's 1533-position model. Lineage: Bacteria; Bacillati; Bacillota; Bacilli; Lactobacillales; Lactobacillaceae. The record is from RNAcentral.